CCGGUCCAGCUCCCUGUGACACAGCAGCAUGCAGAACAACCACGGAGGCCAACUGCUACAGCACAGUGACCUGCCGCUGCUGGUGCCUUCCUCCCACCUCCCUCUGCUUAAAAGUCACAUGCGGCUGCUGCUGACCACCCAUCAGGGCGUCGCUGAAAUGUUACAGACCCCAGUAGCAGCGAGCCCCUAUAGGACACGGCGAGCCGGGGUCGGACUGGAGUGGAAACAAAGGCCAGCGACGCGCCGUGUGUCUGCCAGGCAACCCCACGCUAAGAGCCGAGCUCCCCGUACCUCUCGAAAGACGCCGUUUUUAAAAGACAGCUCCUGGCAGCGUGCUGUUCUUCCACUGCAGACAGCUGUUACGGGCCCACCUCCAGAGCCAUUCUUCACCCGGCACCGCGCCUGAGAGGUGGCGCCGAUUGAUGGAGAAGCGUGACUUUUUCUGAUGUCACUGCAAACCUGCCCGCACCAAGCGAGACACAGAAGACAGCCUCGGCUGACUAAGCCCAGCUCGACCUCCAGCAGCGCUGUCCCAAUCAUGCACCACCUCUUGGGAAAUUCCAGUCACAGAGCUAGUGAAAUGACCCAGGAUCAUCUACUGUAAGUAAUGUCUCGGUACAGUAUAAUAUUGC
This 632-nucleotide long non-coding RNA is filed under the name Lepisosteus oculatus (spotted gar). Its description in RNAcentral is "lncRNA (ENSLOCG00000021270.1)". The record is from RNAcentral. Lineage: Eukaryota; Metazoa; Chordata; Actinopteri; Semionotiformes; Lepisosteidae.